RNAcentral lists this ribosomal RNA (253 nucleotides) under uncultured bacterium. RNAcentral's name for it is "partial 16S ribosomal RNA". It matches the Rfam family "Bacterial small subunit ribosomal RNA", at positions 524 to 776 of the family's 1533-position model. The record is from RNAcentral.
UACGGAGGGAGCAAGCGUUACUCGGAAUUAUUGGGCGUAAAGGGCGCGUAGGCGAUUUGAAAAGUCUUGUGUGAAAGCCCCGAGCUUAACUCGGGAAGUGCACAAGAAACUGUUGAAUUUGAGUUCCGGAGAGGGAGGCAGAAUUCCCGGUGUAGCGGUGAAAUGCGUAGAUAUCGGGAGGAAUACCGAUGGCGAAGGCAGGUCUCUGGGCUGACACUGACGCUCAUGCACGAAAGCGUGGGGAGCAAACAGG